RNAcentral lists this ribosomal RNA (1643 nucleotides) under Acheilognathus hypselonotus. Its description in RNAcentral is "16S ribosomal RNA". The stretch from base 78 to 1549 matches the Rfam family "Bacterial large subunit ribosomal RNA". The record is from RNAcentral. Lineage: Eukaryota; Metazoa; Chordata; Actinopteri; Cypriniformes; Acheilognathidae.
GCCAAACAGCUAGCUCAAAAAUUUAAGCAACUAACAACAUUAAUAGUAAAAAAUUAAACCAUUCUUUUACCUGAGUAUGGGAGACAGAAAAGGUCACACUUGAAGCAAUAGAAAUAGUACCGCAAGGGAAAGCUGAAAGAGAAGUGAAAUAACCCAUAAAAGCAAUAAAAAGCAGAGAUUAAAUCUUGUACCUUUUGCAUCAUGAUUUAGCAAGCACCCUCAAGCAAAGAGCCCUAUAGUUUGAAACCCCGAAACCAAGUGAGCUACCCCGAGACAGCCUAUAUAAAUUAGGGCAAACCCGUCUCUGUGGCAAAAGAGUGGGAAGAGCUCCGGGUAGAAGUGACAGACCUACCGAACUUGGUGAUAGCUGGUUGCUUAAGAAAUGGAUAGAAGUUCAGCCCCAUACCCCUCAAGCCAAAAUAUUAUUACCACAUGGCCAAGAGAGAAAUAUGGGAGUUAGUUGAAGGGGGUACAGCCCCUUUAACUAAGGAUACAACCUUUUUAGGAGAAUAAAGAUCAUAGUUCGAAAGACCUACUGUUUUAGUGGGCCCAAAAGCAGCCACCUGAAUAGAAAGCGUUAAAGCUCAGACAGAAAGUAGUUUAUUAUACUGAUAAAAAAUCUUAUUUCCCUUUAAUUAUUAAGCCGACCCAUGCCCCCAUGGAAGAGAUUAUGCUAAAAUGAGUAACAAGAAGGCCCGACCUUCUCCAGGCACAAGUGUAAGCCAGAUUGGACAAACCACUGAAGUUUAACGAACCCAAAUCAAGAGGGUAGUGUGGACCAUAAAAAAACCAAGAAAAUCCCACAAUUCAUGAUCGUUAACCCCACACCGGAGUGCCAGCAAUGGAAAGACUAAAAGAAAGGGAAGGAACUCGGCAAACACAAGCCUCGCCUGUUUACCAAAAACAUCGCCUCCUGCAACUUUAUAUGUAUAGGAGGUCCAGCCUGCCCAGUGACUACGGGUUCAACGGCCGCGGUAUUUUGACCGUGCAAAGGUAGCGCAAUCACUUGUCUUUUAAAUAAAGACCUGUAUGAAUGGCUAGACGAGGGCUUAGCUGUCUCCCCCUUCCAGUCAGUGAAAUUGAUCUAUCCGUGCAGAAGCGGAUAUACUCCUACAAGACGAGAAGACCCUUUGGAGCUUAAGGUACAAAGAUUAAUCAUGUUAAACAACUUGAUAAAGAGAUAAGAACUUAAUGAGACAUAAUCUUUUACCUUCGGUUGGGGCGACCACGGAGGAAAAACAAGCCUCCAAGAGGAACGGGUAUUUACCCUAAAGCUUAGAGAGACCCCUCUACGCCGCAGAACAUCUGACCAGUAAUGAUCCGGCAUAAAGCCGAUCAACGGACCAAGUUACCCUAGGGAUAACAGCGCAAUCCUCUCCCAGAGUCCAUAUCGACGAGGGGGUUUACGACCUCGAUGUUGGAUCAGGACAUCCUAAUGGUGCAGCCGCUAUUAAGGGUUCGUUUGUUCAACGAUUAAAGUCCUACGUGAUCUGAGUUCAGACCGGAGUAAUCCAGGUCAGUUUCUAUCUGUAACGCUACUUUUCCCAGUACGAAAGGAUCGGAAAAGAGGGGCCCAUGCUUAAGGCACGCCCCACCCCUAAUUAAUGAAGGAGGGCCAAAGGCCAACGCCAAGAUAAGGCUAU